AUAGUGGCUGGUGUAGAUGCU
Molecule: microRNA, 21 nt
Filed under: Ananas comosus (pineapple)
Lineage: Eukaryota; Viridiplantae; Streptophyta; Magnoliopsida; Poales; Bromeliaceae
Description: microRNA s1361_c045b
Source: RNAcentral